Molecule: non-coding RNA, 436 nt
Organism: Schizosaccharomyces pombe (fission yeast)
Lineage: Eukaryota; Fungi; Ascomycota; Schizosaccharomycetes; Schizosaccharomycetales; Schizosaccharomycetaceae
Source: the annotation of a GenBank genome assembly
GAAAUGUGACAUUUUUUAGCAUCAGAACCGUUGAGUGCGCUAUCCACUAUUAGAAGGUAUUGUUUUAACGAUACACUAUUUACAAAAAUAACGGUAUGUAAGAUACAGCAUUUCAGUGCAAGCUCACAAUAUUGUUAAUUUUGAGAAGCAAAAAUAUGGUCACAGCCAGGUUCGAACUGGCGACAUUCGACUUAUUAGAUCGACAUGAUAACCGACUACAUCAUGCGACCACUUUUUGAACAAUUGCUUCUUUAAUAUUUUAUAUACUCUUUUAGUGAGUAAUAGAGAUGGAAUUUUAAGAAAACAGUAUUGAUGUUUUUUACAAGAAAGCUUGAGUUUAGAGUGAAUGGGUUGGAGUAUAAAUUUAUUAGAUUUAACAUAGUCUAUAUCGGAUUCUCCCCAUUUUGGAUUCUCUAUUUUUUCAGUUCCCCACAAU